Long non-coding RNA from Rhinichthys klamathensis goyatoka, 1259 nucleotides. RefSeq lists it as uncharacterized. The transcript is spliced from 3 exons. The record is from RefSeq and is a predicted model, not a curated record. NCBI's taxonomy places the organism in Eukaryota, Metazoa, Chordata, Actinopteri, Cypriniformes, Leuciscidae.
GUGUCAGACAGACACUCAUUCUCUGUUUAAAAGUCUAACUUUAACCCUGCUGUUGCAUGAUCUUUAUCAUGUGAAUCUAAGGAGGUGAUUCCUAUAAGGCUUAUAAAGUAGAACAAUUAGCAGUAUAGCUGGUGUUGUGGUGGUGUCACUGUGUAGUUAAUAGUCUGCUGGAUUCAUGUUUAAUAAUAGAGUUAGUUGGUGUUCUGUGAAGCUCUGAUGUUCUUGCUAAUUUACACAGUUCAGGUUUUCAUUGCACAGCAUUUGGUCAUGAAGUCUUUUGAAUCUUUAUCUUUUGUUUUGUAGAUCUGGCAUUCUCUGACUCAACACUUUAACAGAGUCGUUGCCCCUAGACUUCCUGGGCUUUGGUUUUUCAGACAAACCGAAUAAGAGAUGUGUUUGGACCGUUACACCCAGUGACGUGUGGACAGACAUUCACAGUUUGAUGGACAUCUGCUCAGACACAGUUAAAAGCAUAACCGCUGCUGGACAUCGUGCGGGAGCUCAGGGGGGGACCCCAUGAUCCCCCACACCUUCUCACUCACACCACAGCAUUCAUUCAUAUCGCAGAGAUCUGGCUGGAGUCGAACCAGCAACCUCUGAAACCGUGAGGCAGCGCUCUUACCUGUGAGCCACAGAUCUCUUGUCUGGACAUGUGACGGAACUUAUAUUUCACUAUUCACCUGUAUGUGAGCUGGGAUUUUACAAUAAACCAGUUAAAGCCAAGUGGGAUUUGAACCCAAGCCUUUAUCGCAGACUCUUUCUCAACUGACGUGUGUUUAGCCGCUGCACCAUCAUGGUUCUCACGCUGAGUGCUGGCAUUAGGGGUGUUUUGUUGAAUAUUAGGAAGGUUUGUUGGAUCUAAUGCAAUUUGUGGGAUUUAAUAUAAGCGAUAGUGGGAUUUGAACCCAAGCCUUUAACACAGCCUCACCCACAACUGAUGUGUUUAGCCACUGCACCAUCAUGGGUCUCACACUGAGUGCUGGCAUUUGGGGUGUUUUAUUGAGAGAUCUGUUUUAUAUGAUUAAAAACUCUUUGCAAUUGUGGGAUUUGAACCCAAGCUUGCAAGUGGGAAAGAGAUGUUUAUCCACUGAGCCAUACAAUAUGUGUUUAUGUAUUAGUGUGUUUUAGGGUCUUUUAUGCAUUUAUUUUCUUUUGUUUUGAACCAGCUUUUCAAAGCUAGCAUCAAACUGGACAUGUCAUGUGAUUUCAGGAAACGAGGUUUCUUCACAUCAUACUGUUUCGAAACAUUUGGACAUUUU